GCUACAGUUUUGAUCGUCGAAUCAUAUCUCCGCCGCUGACGUGAGAAUCUCCUUCCUUCUUACCGCAAUUUCCAGAAGCAAAGGAGGAAGCUUUAGUAUUAAUAUUUUUUUAGAGAGAGAGAGAAACGAAGCAAUGGGUGUAAUCACGAACAAGGUUGAGAGAGACGAGCUUAAACCUGGUGAUCACAUCUACACUUACCGAGCCGUCUUCGCCUAUUCUCACCACGGUGCUUUGGUUCUUCCUUUUAUGAUAUCAUCAUCAAUUGGGUUUUGAUGCAUUUUGUGUGAAUCAUCAUUUUUCCUCAAUUUUAGGUUUUUCAUCAUUCAUUGUACAGAGGAAGAAAGAAACAG
RNAcentral lists this long non-coding RNA (351 nucleotides) under Capsella rubella. RNAcentral's name for it is "long non-coding RNA (CRUB_LNC002406)". Lineage: Eukaryota; Viridiplantae; Streptophyta; Magnoliopsida; Brassicales; Brassicaceae. The record is from RNAcentral.